Molecule: ribosomal RNA, 405 nt
Filed under: uncultured bacterium
Lineage: Bacteria
Description: partial 16S ribosomal RNA
Rfam family: Bacterial small subunit ribosomal RNA
Source: RNAcentral
AUUGAACGCUGGCGGCAGGCUUAACACAUGCAAGUCGAACGAGUGGCGGACGGGUGAGUAAUGCUUGGGAAUCUAGCUUAUGGAGGGGGAUAACUACGGGAAACUGUAGCUAAUACCGCGUACCAUAGGAUGAGCCAAAGGUGGAUUAGGUAGUUGGUGAGGUAAAGGCUCACCAAUCCGACGAUCUCUAGCUGGUCUGCGAGGAUGACCAGCCACACUGGGACUUAGACACGGCCCAGACUCCUACGGGAGGCAGCAGUGGGGAAUAUUGCGCAAUGGGGGCAACCUGACGCAGCCAUGCCGCGUGAAUGAAGAAGGCCUUCGGGUUGUAAAGUUCUUUCGGUAGCGAGGCGUUAACUACAGAAGAAGCACCGGCUAACGCCGGGCCAGCAGCCGCGGUAAUAC